UCCUUUGUCUUUCAACUCUCUCUCCAAAAAACCACUUCCAAAGACACACAAACAAAGUGGUUUUCAACCGUCCGAUCACUUACUAAUGGCUGACGUGGCAGAAAGCGAGCGGAGGAUCCUCGUGGCCGUCGAUGAAGGAGAGGAGAGCAUGCAUGCUCUCUCUUGGUGCCUCAAGAACGUUGUUUCUCAGAAUUCCAAAGAUACCCUUAUCCUACUCUACGCCAAGCCCCCGAGAGCAGUGUACACGGCUCUAGAUGGCACAGGUAGGAGAGAGGAUCCAUCAGGGUAUUUGUUUUCCUCGGAUAUUUUGGCGGCGAUGGAGAAGUACGGCGCUGAGGUGGCGGCCUGCGGUAAAAUGGUCAUUUUGAUUUUGGAAUUUUGAUUUGGCGAUUGUACCCCUCUGGGCCAGGUUAAGGUGGAGGCGCGAGUAGAGAAUGGUGAUCCGAGGGAUGUGAUUUGCCAGAUGGCCGAGCAGCUUGGUGCUGACCUGUUGGUCAUGGGAAGCCAUGGCUAUGGUCUCAUCAAAAGGGCAUUCCUCGGGAGCGUGAGCAACCACUGUGCACAGAAUGUGAAGUGUCCUGUGUUGAUUGUGAAGAAGCCAAAAACAAAUGCUGGCAGCAAAUGACUUUGUUAUCCUCUUCUGUUUUUUUUUGGCCUCUAUAUUUUUGUUUUGGUGGUGAAUUUUUCUCUGUAUUUUUUCUUUCGGUAUGCGACUCGUGCUGUAACUAUUUAUAUUUAAAUUGAGCUAAGCAGUGAGAAUUUUAUGGUAUAAGAGCCUACGGAAUAAAUCAUCGACGUUUUCUUUGAUC
This is a non-coding RNA of Prunus mume (Japanese apricot), 809 nucleotides long. The record is from RefSeq and is a predicted model, not a curated record. NCBI's taxonomy places the organism in Eukaryota, Viridiplantae, Streptophyta, Magnoliopsida, Rosales, Rosaceae.